UGGAUGCUCACAGCCAUCUGACUGAG
RNAcentral lists this unclassified non-coding RNA (26 nucleotides) under Mus musculus (house mouse). RNAcentral's name for it is "oocyte_clustered_small_RNA11114". Lineage: Eukaryota; Metazoa; Chordata; Mammalia; Rodentia; Muridae. The record is from RNAcentral.